UGGCCGUUCUUAGUUCGUGGAGUGAUCUGUCUGCUUAAUUGCGUUUCAAAUAUAUUUUAUUAUAUAACGAGUCUACAAAGGAGUGGUUCAUUAACAGACAAUCAUAUCUUUGAGCGUCUGGAAUCUACUCUAUUUGGCUCAAUUGAACGCAACGGACGUGAUCGCGAGUCCUUGUUGAACUUCAGUAUAUAUUGACUAUCCCCGUAGGAAGGGAUUGGCAAUAAUUGAAUGUUCGCUUUCUAUUAGGUGUGUAUAUAUAGUCUCAAAAUUACAUGUAUUUGUAAUGGCGAGUAAUAUUUAUACUAUCCUGUAGGAAAACUCGGGCGACCGCUGUAAUAUUUCUCUUUAAAACAGAGGAAGAUUGCGGCAAUAACAGGUCUGUGAUGCCCUCAGAUGUCCCGGGCCGCA
RNAcentral lists this ribosomal RNA (408 nucleotides) under Globigerinella siphonifera. Its description in RNAcentral is "bacterial SSU rRNA". It matches the Rfam family "Eukaryotic small subunit ribosomal RNA", at positions 1285 to 1491 of the family's 1831-position model. Lineage: Eukaryota; Foraminifera; Rotaliida; Globigerinidae. The record is from RNAcentral.